AGCACUUUGGGAGGCCAAGGCGGGUGGAUCACAAGCUCAGGAGUUCGAGACCAGCCUGAGCGAAAUGGUGAAAUCACGUCUCUACGAAAAGUACAAAAAUUAGCCAGGUUUAGUGGUGCGUGCCUCUAGUCCCAGCUACUGGGGGGCUGCGGUGAAAGGAUUCCUUGAGGAGGUCACAGCUGCAGUAAGACCUGUUUGCACCACUGCACUCCAGCCUUGGGGACAGAAUGAGACCCUGUCUCAAA
Sapajus apella (tufted capuchin) is the source of this 245-nucleotide long non-coding RNA. RefSeq lists it as uncharacterized. The record is from RefSeq and is a predicted model, not a curated record. Lineage: Eukaryota; Metazoa; Chordata; Mammalia; Primates; Cebidae. The transcript is spliced from 2 exons.